CCUACGGGUGGCAGCAGUGGGGAAUAUUGGACAAUGGGGGCAACCCUGAUCCAGCCAUGCCGCGUGUGUGAAGAAGGCCCUCGGGUUGUAAAGCACUUUCAGUGAGGAAGAACGCCUGGUGGUUAAUACCCAUCAGGAAAGACAUCACUCACAGAAGAAGCACCGGCUAACUCCGUGCCAGCAGCCGCGGUAAUACGGAGGGUGCGAGCGUUAAUCGGAAUUACUGGGCGUAAAGCGUGCGUAGGUGGCUUGAUAAGCCGGUUGUGAAAGCCCCGGGCUCAACCUGGGAACGGCAUCCGGAACUGUCAAGCUAGAGUGCAGGAGAGGAAGGUAGAAUUCCCGGUGUAGCGGUGAAAUGCGUAGAGAUCGGGAGGAAUACCAGUGGCGAAGGCGGCCUUCUGGACUGACACUGACACUGAGGUGCGAAAGCGUGGGUAGCAAACAGGAUUAGAUACCCGUGUAGUC
This 465-nucleotide ribosomal RNA is filed under the name Vreelandella stevensii. RNAcentral's name for it is "partial 16S ribosomal RNA". It matches the Rfam family "Bacterial small subunit ribosomal RNA", at positions 338 to 795 of the family's 1533-position model. Lineage: Bacteria; Pseudomonadati; Pseudomonadota; Gammaproteobacteria; Oceanospirillales; Halomonadaceae. The record is from RNAcentral.